This 490-nucleotide ribosomal RNA is filed under the name uncultured bacterium. RNAcentral describes it as "partial 16S ribosomal RNA". It matches the Rfam family "Bacterial small subunit ribosomal RNA", at positions 30 to 507 of the family's 1533-position model. The record is from RNAcentral.
AUUGAACGCUGGCGGCAGGCCUAACACAUGCAAGUCGAACGGUAACAGGAAGAAGCUUGCUUCUUUGCUGACGAGUGGCGGACGGGUGAGUAAUGUCUGGGAAACUGCCUGAUGGAGGGGGAUAACUACUGGAAACGGUAGCUAAUACCGCAUAACGUCGCAAGACCAAAGAGGGGGACCUUCGGGCCUUUUGCCAUCGGAUGUGCCCAGAUGGGAUUAGCUAGUAGGUGGGGUAACGGCUCACCUAGGCGACGAUCCCUAGUUGGUCUGAGAGGAUGACCAGCCACACUGGAACUGAGACACGGUCCAGACUCCUACGGGAGGCAGCAGUGGGGAAUAUUGCACAAUGGGCGCAAGCCUGAUGCAGCCAUGCCGCGUGUAUGAAGAAGGCCUUCGGGUUGUAAAGUACUUUCAGCGGGGAGGAAGGGAGUAAAGUUAAUACCUUUGCUCAUUGACGUUACCCGCAGAAGAAGCACCGGCUAACUCCGUG